This 138-nucleotide transfer RNA is filed under the name Candidatus Woesearchaeota archaeon. RNAcentral's name for it is "tRNA-Leu". It matches the Rfam family "tRNA". From Rfam's summary of the family: Transfer RNA (tRNA) molecules are approximately 80 nucleotides in length. Their secondary structure includes four short double-helical elements and three loops (D, anti-codon, and T loops). Lineage: Archaea; Nanobdellati; Candidatus Woesearchaeota. The record is from RNAcentral.
GCGAGGGUAGCGAAGCCUGGUCAAUUGAAAAUCGAGGAUUUUCAAAGCGUCUUUAAAAUCUUCGAUUUUAGACCAAACGCGCAGGACUUAAGAUCCUGUUCCUUAGUGGAUUCGUGGGUUCGAAUCCCAUCCCUCGCA